UAUUAAAAAUUUCAUCCAUUUGUAUUAUUAAAAACUAGUGUGACGGACAGAAUAAUUAGACGAUGACACGUAGUGUACAAUAUGUAUCUCAUGCUAACAUAUAAAGAUCAGUUUUUAAUGGUGGAAAUGAAAGAAAUUUUUACCA
This is a non-coding RNA of Gossypium hirsutum (cotton), 145 nucleotides long. The record is from Rfam. NCBI's taxonomy places the organism in Eukaryota, Viridiplantae, Streptophyta, Magnoliopsida, Malvales, Malvaceae.